This 253-nucleotide ribosomal RNA is filed under the name uncultured bacterium. RNAcentral describes it as "partial 16S ribosomal RNA". It matches the Rfam family "Bacterial small subunit ribosomal RNA", at positions 524 to 776 of the family's 1533-position model. The record is from RNAcentral.
UACGUAGGGAGCAAGCGUUGUCCGGAAUCAUUGGGCGUAAAGCGCGCGUAGGUGGCCUCAUAAGUCCGCUGUGAAAGUCAAAGGCUCAACCUUUGAAAGCCGGUGGAUACUGUGAGGCUAGAGUACGGAAGAGGCGAGUGGAAUUCCUGGUGUAGCGGUGGAAUGCGCAGAUAUCAGGAGGAACACCAAUAGCGAAGGCAGCUCGCUGGGACGUUACUGACACUGAGGCGCAAAAGCGUGGGGAGCGAACAGG